Molecule: non-coding RNA, 114 nt
Filed under: unclassified sequences
Source: RNAcentral
GCAGUAAAUAUUACUGCAUCUUUAAGGUGAGAAUCCUUGACAAUCCUGUGGGGCUUAUAUCUCGUGUUUAUAGUAGUGGUGUCACGAGUAUUAGUGCAGACGUUAAAAUCAGGA